GACCUUUUACACAAAUUUUGAUGAAGUGCGCCGUUAUAGAAAUAAAACCACUAAAAAUUCGCAAUUCGCAAUUCGCAAUUUUCAGUGUAAGAACGGGCCUUGACCGAUCUUAUGCACCAGGUUCCCAACGAACACGCACUGCCCUUACACCUACAUCUUACCCUUGCUCUGAGUCAGUACGAGCAGCACGCUAGAACACGCUUUGAGUGUUCGUGCCAGGCAUGCACACCUUCUUUUCCGGUUACGCAUUUUAACUCGGCCGGGGGUGGUACAUUACGUAGGGUUUGAUGUAAGUAUAAGCGCCUAACCAUUUAUAGUGUGCCUAUCAACUUUCAUUAAAGCAAAAACUGUUAUAUUUUAGUUUGAAUUCAAAAACUAAUUGUUAUUAUACUGUGUAUUGUUUUCUCCUGAAAUCUUUCCUAGUGUUGAGUCGUGUUUAUCUGUUGCUAUUUCUUUUGUCGCGGUGUUUUGUUACAUUUUUGGUCCUAAGCAUUUUAGAAAAGUUUUUCAAAAGUACAAUAGUAAUAUUUGUGUUAAUCCUUUAAUCAUUCCAUAAAUUGAGUAAGGGCUCGAACCUCACUUGCUUAAGAAAAAGGUGAAGUUUCAAAACAAUAGACAGUGAAGGAAAUAUACUAUGUAAAGAAUCAAUAAUAAAAGAAAGAUAGUAAUUUAUGAAGUAGAUAAAGAAAUUAACAAUAGUUAAUAAAUAGAGGUAACAAACAAGCUUAGAUUGUAUUGAGGGCAAUUUACAGGGAAGAUGAGAAAUUAUUCAAAUAGAUAAAUAAAGAAAAGGCACAUGAUAAACAAAAUUGACGUCGCUGCCAAAUUAAGGGAAAGCGUUGAGAAAUAAGAGAAUCAAAUAAGUAAAAUCGAAAUCAAAUGGAGGAUAGUAAACAGAAGCCGUUUUAGAAAAUCAGUGAAACAAAAUAGCUGUUAGCUGAAAUGGAAAGAGGAGAAACCCCGUUCUGCGAUGCUCAGCCGUCUCGACUCUGACCCUCGCUGGUCAAAGGUUUACGAUCCGUUUCCACAGGCCACCAGCUAGGUCAUCAUGAAAACCAAGCCAACGUGGAGGUAAGAAAAUAGGACACUUGCAAGGAACCAGAGCUAUACUGUCCUGAUCAAGAAUGAUCUAACAGGACUACGGACGUAGUCAGUGACGCUCCUUCCAGGAUGUUCCUCGCCUAAGCGUCAACUGAAGAGGUAUUAACAGUAUCAUUCGCCCUUGGCCUGCAGAAAUAAAACCACUAAAAAUUUUAACAAAACAAACAGUUUUUGGAUUAAAAAAAAGCAAUAUUUUUUUAGAAGUUCAGAAAAAUUAAAAAAAAAAUGUCUACGAAACUUUGAGGAUUGAACCUCUGUUAGCUGAGAUACAGCGGAGACUUAUAUUCAAUAUUUUAUUCAAAUUUUUUGAAGAAAAAAAUCUUAUAUUCAUUAUUAUUAUUGAAAUUUUUAUCUUUGAAAAAAAAAUAUAAUCAUCUUUUCUUAUCAUUGAACCAUUUUUAAAAUAGAAUUUUUCGAGACUUCACAUUUUUUUCUUUUUAUCAUUUUUAUUACUUAAAGAUGAAAUUUCAGCAAAAAAAACUUUUUUCAACAAAAUAAAGAAAGCUUCCUUUUAUAUAAAUUUUUAAAGGACGUUUUAAAUAGCAUUUUGCAGCAACCAAAUUUUAAGAUGAAUACUUGUCAUUAAAUUUAUUUUGAUGAAAACUUUAAAAUAAACUAAAUCAAUCAAACGUGUACAAUUAUUUAUUUUGACGCUAAAAAAUGUAAAACUUUUUUUAGUAAUCAAGUUUAGAAAUGUCACAAUUUUUUGACAUUGAAAGUACGAUCAAUAUCUUGAGAGUUUUGGACUAAUUAUAGGGGCAACUUCAAAAGAAAGUAUUUUCUAAUUUAUAUUCUUUCGGAAGCCGUAUCUCAGCAAUUUGAUAUUCUAUUAACAAUGUCUCGAUGAGGUGAUUUUACAAACAAAAACGAUACUUAAUCCACCCUUAGGUGGUUGGCGCCUUCCUUACAUUUAAAGGGUGCUAUCCAAAAUGCAAAAAGUGCGUAAAUAACACUUAAGUACUUAUAACUUCUGAUAGGGUUGUCAGGUCUUCAAUGUUUUGGACGCGUUGGAAAGGUCUUUUAAAUACCUAUCCAAAGAUAGGUCGCAUGAGAGAUCCGGACAACGUUUUCAUCAACAUAUCUUAGAUCCGGCCUCCAGAAAGCGUAUAAAAAGCACUUAAGUGCGUAUAACUUUUGAUAAAUUUGUCAGAUCUUCAAUGUCUUGGACUCGUUGGAAAGGUCUUUUAAAUACCUUUCUGAAAAUGUAUAGCAUGACGGGUUUUCUUACAAAAACCACCCUGUUUACAAUCUUACGAAGUUUAGCUGAAAUCGUUUUUUAGAAUAACUUUUGAAGUACUAUUCUAAACUUCACAAAAUUAACUAGGGUCUUGUGGGAGCCCAAUACGGAUCAAAUGAGACCAAAACGGUCCAAAUCGGUUCGGCCAGUCCGGAGGUAAUCGUGUGCAAAUUUUUCGGUGCACGGACUCACAUCCAGACACACGCACAGACAUUUGUUCAGAAUUUGAUUCUGAGUCGAUAGGUAUACGUGAAGGUGGGUCUACGAGGUCGAAUUAAAAAGUUCAUUUUUCGAAGGAUACCUUUUUUAAAAAAAGUUCUCAUAAGUUCAAAACUAUUGAAUCAGUCAACGACAUUUCAUCCGAUUUCAGAUCACCAGAAUGAAAAAAAAAAAUCUUGGGCAUGAACAUGUCACAUUAAACAAACAGUUUUGGCAACUCCAGGAACAAAGGCAAUGUUUGAUUUUUUUAAUGAUUUACUCGAAAAUGCUAUUUUUUUUCUUUCUACGUGCGUGUGAACAAAAAUCCACAGCUUUAUAUGAACAAUGUCUCGAAAUCUAGUUUGUGUGCUACUCUCUGUAAGAGAUUUAUUUUUUACAGAAUUAAACUAAUUGUUAGGCUUGUUUGUAGAGCAUUGUUACACUCUAAAAAAAACCUGCAAAUUAAAAAAACAUAGAAAUUCAAUAUGAAUUUUUUUGUUCUAAAUGAAAAAAACCCCUUCUGGGUUACAUUCAAUUUUCCAUAAAAUGACAUAUUCCAAAAUUCUAAAGUUGAUUUUUAAAACUUUUUUAUUCGAUGAAAAAUAAGUUUUUUUCGGAAUUCUGAGUACGCCAUCAAAUAGGGUGUCCAAUUUUACAUAAAAGUCCUUCUGAUACCAAAUUUCCAUCUUACUACCAUUUCAGGCUGCAAAUUAUUGAAAAAGAUGUCUUUUUGAGAAUGUUUAAAAAUUGAAGGGGUCGUACCGCCCCUCCGUCACGACGAAUAUAUGAAAAUUCUUCAAAUUUUAAGCUGACACAAAAACAAAAAGCGUUUUCAAUUCGUUACUCACGAAGCUAAUAUUCCUGCAUAAUCUCAAACUACCUCCUUCAAUCUUGAACCUUCCAGGAAAAUCGGAAAACAUUACUAACAAAAACAUAAAUUAAAAAUUUACACCAACGCACAAUUAUUGUUCCUCCGGUAUCCCCCUUUUCGCCCACGGCUAUCCCAAUGCUCAAUCUCAAUAAAACUCGAUGUAAUCCAACCCCACGAUGACCCGACGGAUAAUCCAACGAUUUUGGGGCAAAGCAAUCGGAAAACCCUUAAGCCAUAAAAAGUGUUAGGGUGUACGACCCCUUUUUUCCUUCAACAUCAAGAAAGAUGCCCUCCCCCUCCCCGUCCCGUGUCGAGCCCUUUAUCACACGAUUAGGCGAUUAUUCUGGCGCGCUCGCCGCUCAGCCCCUAAUUGUCUGAUAUAUGACAUUUGGGGAGGGGGAAGCGUUUGCUUUCUUGACUCUUGCUUUUGCACCACACCCGAAAAAAAACGCGUUGCAUUAUUAAUGUGGGUGGGUGAGUGCAAGUGGGGCCGGUUUGUACGUGUUCGUGGGUGGGUGUGAGAAGAUCAAGUAGCUCAGCCGAGAGUAACAAGUUAAAGAGAAGAAAACUACAACUAAACGAAAGAAUGACGAGCUCGAAUGGAGAGAGAGAGAGGGUAGAAGAAAAAAACAAAACGCUUUAAUGACGAAACCAAACUAGUCGAUUAGUGGAAAUAGGUUAAUAAAGGAAUUAUCACAUGUGGUGAUUGAAGGGUGGCGAUUUGAUCGAAUAAGUUCCAUUUUAUUUUACCUCUAUGAUGACGAAAGAAGAAAGAAAACAUUCACCGGAUGUGUAUAUAAAACUAGCAGUGUAUUGAAUUUGCAUUAUUUAGACAAUAAAAUGAUGUACUGCCUGCGAGAAUGUGGCGUUAAUUUAUUA
Culex pipiens pallens (northern house mosquito) is the source of this 4286-nucleotide long non-coding RNA. RefSeq lists it as uncharacterized. The transcript has 2 exons. Lineage: Eukaryota; Metazoa; Arthropoda; Insecta; Diptera; Culicidae. The record is from RefSeq and is a predicted model, not a curated record.